UUGCUCGCUUCAGCAGCACAUAUACUAUAAUUGGAACGAUACGGAGAAGAUUAGUGUGGCUCCUGCGCAAGGAUGACACGCAAAUUCAUGAAGCGUUCCGUGGCAGU
This is a small nuclear RNA of Eublepharis macularius, 107 nucleotides long. The record is from RefSeq and is a predicted model, not a curated record. NCBI's taxonomy places the organism in Eukaryota, Metazoa, Chordata, Lepidosauria, Squamata, Eublepharidae.